RNAcentral lists this long non-coding RNA (277 nucleotides) under Durio zibethinus. RNAcentral's name for it is "long non-coding RNA (DZIB_LNC000504)". Lineage: Eukaryota; Viridiplantae; Streptophyta; Magnoliopsida; Malvales; Malvaceae. The record is from RNAcentral.
GCGAGCGGCUUCAGUCGCUCUUAAGCUGGCGCGAUCCUCGUGCCACAACUAUAUUUGUGAUAUUCUGUCUUGCAGCAGCCAUUGUAUUGUAUGUGACACCUUUCCAGGUGCUUGCUCUUCUCGCUGGGUUCUACCUUAUGAGGCAUCCCAGGUUUCGCCACAAGACACCUGCAGCACCAAUUAAUUUCUUCCGUCGAUUGCCUGCAAGGACAGAUAGUAUGUUGUAAAUAGGUUAUGGGGGAUUUUGGCCACUUGUCGGUUUUAGGUUCUGGUUGCU